UAUUAAAAUUUUUAUCAAUUUCUAUUAUUAAAAACUGGUAUGGCUGACAAAAAUAACUACACGGUGACAUGUGGCAUACCACAUGUAUCUCAUGUUGAUCUAUAGGGAUUUAUUUUUAACAGUAGAAAUGGAUGAAAUUUUUAACA
Gossypium hirsutum (cotton) is the source of this 146-nucleotide non-coding RNA. The record is from Rfam. NCBI's taxonomy places the organism in Eukaryota, Viridiplantae, Streptophyta, Magnoliopsida, Malvales, Malvaceae.